This 1487-nucleotide ribosomal RNA is filed under the name uncultured marine bacterium. RNAcentral's name for it is "bacterial SSU rRNA". It matches the Rfam family "Bacterial small subunit ribosomal RNA". The record is from RNAcentral.
GAGUUUGAUCCUGGCUCAGAACGUACGCUGGCGGCACGCCUAACACAUGCAAGUCGAACGAAGUAGCAAUACUUAGUGGCAGACGGGUGAGUAACAUGUAGGUAUCUGCCCUUUGGCCUGGAAUAACACGAGGAAACUUGUGCUAAUACCGGAUAAGUCUUUACGGAGAAAGCUUUAUGCACCAUUGGAUGAGCCUGCACUUGAUUAGUUUGUUGGUAGGGUAAUGGCCUACCAAGACUGUGAUCAAUAGCUGAUUUGAGAGGAUGAUCAGCCACAUUGGGACUGAGACACGGCCCAAACUCCUACGGGAGGCAGCAGUGGGGAAUCUUGCACAAUGGAGGAAACUCUGAUGCAGCGAUGCCGCGUGAGUGAAGAAGGCCCUUGGGUUGUAAAGCUCUUUCGUCGGGGAAGAAAAUGACUGUACCCGAAUAAGAAGGUCCGGCUAACUUCGUGCCAGCAGCCGCGGUAAUACGAAGGGACCUAGCGUAGUUCGGAAUUACUGGGCUUAAAGAGUUCGUAGGUGGUUGAAAAAGUUGGUGGUGAAAUCCCAGAGCUUAACUCUUGAACUGCCAUCAAAACUUUUCAGCUAGUGUAUGAUAGAGGAAAUCAGAAUUUCUAGUGUAGAGGUGAAAUUCGUAGAUAUUAGAAAGAAUACCAAUUGCGAAGGCAGUUUUCUGGAUCAUUACUGACACUGAGGAACGAAAGCAUGGGUAGCGAAGAGGAAUGAUACCCUCGUAGUCCAUGCCGUAAACGCUGUGAGUUAGACGUUGGAAAUUUUAUUUUUCAGUGUCGCAGCGAAAGCGAUGAACACACCGCCUGGGGAGUACGACCCGCAAGGUUAAAACUCAAAUGAAUUGACGGGACCCGCACAAGUAGUGGAGCAUGUGGUUUAAUUCGAAGAUACGCGCUUAACCUUCCCAACACUUGACAUGUUCCUCGAGACUUUAAGAGAUUAAAGUUUUCGGUUCGGCCGGACGAAACACAGGUGCUGCAUGGCUGUCGUCAGCUCGUGUCGUGAGAUGUUGGGUUAAGUCCCGCAACGAGCGCAACCCUCACUUUUAGUUGCCAUCAUUAAGUUGGGCACUCUGAAAGAACUCCCAGUUAUAAGCUGGAGGAAGGUGGGGAUGUCGUCAAGUCCUCAUGGCCCUUACGUGUUGGGCUACACACGUGUUACAAUGGUAUUUACAACAGGAAGCAAGACUGUGAAGUUAAGCAAAUCCCUAAAAGAUACCUCAGUUCGGAUUGCACUCUGCAACUCGAGUGCACGUAGCUGGAAUUACUAGUAAUCGUGGAUCAGCGUGCCACGGUGAAUGCGUUCCCGGGUCUUGUCCACCCCGCCCGUCACACCAUGGGAGUUGGUUCUACCUUAAGGCAAGGUUUAAAACCCUUGACCCCGGUAUAGUCAGCGACUUGGGUGCCUCGUCCAAUGUAACCAAGGGCGAAUCUGCAUAUAUCCCCACACGGCGGCCGCUGGAGCAUGCAUAUAG